Molecule: transfer RNA, 78 nt
Filed under: Escherichia phage UGJNEcP3
Lineage: Duplodnaviria; Heunggongvirae; Uroviricota; Caudoviricetes; Pantevenvirales; Straboviridae
Also listed under: 1 other name
Description: tRNA-Met(cat)
Rfam family: tRNA
About the family: Transfer RNA (tRNA) molecules are approximately 80 nucleotides in length. Their secondary structure includes four short double-helical elements and three loops (D, anti-codon, and T loops).
Source: RNAcentral
GGCCCUGUAGCUCAAUUGGUUAGCAGCAGUCCCCUCAUAAGGGAAAGGUUACCAGUUCAAAUCUGGUCCGGGUCACCA